AUCCAUCUGACGAGUCCCAGAUAGAACGAAACUGUCGUGAAACUGGAU
Non-coding RNA from Schistosoma rodhaini, 48 nucleotides. NCBI's taxonomy places the organism in Eukaryota, Metazoa, Platyhelminthes, Trematoda, Strigeidida, Schistosomatidae. The record is from Rfam.